This 5590-nucleotide long non-coding RNA is filed under the name Homo sapiens (human). RNAcentral describes it as "non-protein coding lnc-TMUB2-1:11". The record is from RNAcentral. Lineage: Eukaryota; Metazoa; Chordata; Mammalia; Primates; Hominidae.
GGGCUCGGAGCCUAGGCGGGCGGGCGGGCGCCGAGAGCGACCUCGCCAGACCCGCGGGGGAACUAGCAGGCUUCGCCGGCGAGGGAGGGCCGAGGUGCGGCCGCGGAGAGGGUGCCCGGAGGUGCCCCCGGCGUCCGGGGAGGCUCGGGGGGCGCCCACAGCCCUGCUCCGGAGCUCUCCCCCAAGUUCUCCCAGCUCAGACUAGGGCUUCCAGGCCAGCUCUCUCCCGCCUCCCGGAGCGAGCGGUCCGCGCCCACCCUCAUCCCCCGGAGCGUGGCCGCUGGUUUGGGGCGCACGCACGCCGAUCGCGGCGUCCAGCUUCGGUGCCUACCUCGCGGUCCUCUCCUUGCCGAACGGCACAUACGAAACUUAAAAAAAAACCCGAAAACUAAAACCUCUGCAUUAAAAAAAAAAAAUCCCCGUUGCUCUUUACACCCCGGAAACGGCAAGGGAACGACGGGCUCCGGCGGAGGGGCCGCUGUGGGAGCCGGUUCAAUCCAGCCCGGCAUGGUUCUCCAGGCCUGCCCGGGCGCAUGAAGAUCGGCGCCGCCGCCACUCGUAGCAACCCCUCUCCCCCGAAAUCCGCGGCUCCCGGGCUCACUUACCGAGCGUGUGGAUGGGAGCGCAGGCCGGGGGCACCUGGGAGCACGGCGGGCCGAACAGUCGAGCCGCAGCUCCGCUGCAGCCGACGCCGGGGCAGCGAGUCGCCAGACAAAGCCCGAGAUGGCGAAGCGGAGCGACGGCUAAUGGCGAGCCCCACGCGCCGCGCUCCGCCCGCCCCGCUCCGCCCGCCCGCCCGCCCGCCUCGGCGCAGCGCAGCGCCGCUCCGAGCGCUUGCCCGUCAGAGCCGCCUCGGCGCCGCCGCCUCCCGGGCCACCCCGGCCUCGCCUGGCCCCUCCGCCUCCUCCGGGCGGCUCAGCCUCACCCCUUCCCUCCCACUGCUCUAGGGGUUGCACAAAAAAAAUUUUUUUUUUUUAAAGAAAAAUGGUUUUCGUCUUUUUUUUUUCUUUUUGCAGGGCGGGCAUGUUGAGACUUUUGGAUAUUUCUGCCCCCAGCUCGCACUCACCUGCGGAGCCGCCGGGAGGGCUAGGGGUGGGGGCGCGCGGGGCUGGAGCCGGCGAGCGCGGGUUGAAAGCCAGCCAAGCUCUGCAGCGCCCGACCCGGGCGUGUACGCCGCCGCCAGUCCCCGCAGAGAAAUCGUCCUCCUACCCCGCCUCCAUCGCUCUGCGUUUCUCUUCCAAUCAGCCGGUCGCUUGGUGGCUCCUCCAUUCUCCGGCCAAGCCCAGCUGCCUAGAGCGAGCUCCACUCCUCCAUCUGUUCGCCGGGGUCCUCGCUCCCCUGCCGGGGCCGGCGAGACGGCGUGAGGCCGGAGGGGGAUUUGCAAGGAAACCUGCCUGCUUCCCGCUCCCAUUGCUCCAUCCCCGCUGCCUCCUGCCUCCUGCUUCUCUCCUGCGUCUUUCCAACUCUCCCCUGUCGCCACUGGUGUGUGUCUGAGUGUGUGCGCGGUUUUUUUUUUUUAAUUGCUCUUUGCUUUUGCAACCCUGAAGCAAAAGGGGGGGGGGGUAGUUACAGGGAAAAAAAAAGCGAGAAAGAAGCUCUUAGAUUUGCAACACAUCGGAAAACCGGGGGAGCACCCCGCCUUAUCCGAUCUCCAUGCUCCGCAAGGGCCUUCCGGGUUUUAGGACAAGCUUCUCAAUGUCCCGUUUCGCUGGGUUUAGGAUCCGAGGAGUCCGAGCAAAAAGUUCUCCCCCUGGGUCGUAGUGACGGGUGUCGGGGUGGGAGUUGCGGGGAUUUUUCAAGAAGCAGCAGCUACCCCGGCGUCGGUCACUGGGCCGGGGUAGGGGAAAGAGCAAAAUCCCAGUGGGUUUGCGCGAGGGAUCUUCUAGGGUCGAGGCGGGUGUGGGGGGAGUUGGAACCGGGAGACACCGCUUGGCGCAUCUCUCCCUCGGUCUCUACCUCCUGUCCUAUGCCAGCUCCCCCUUUAAUUUUUUUCCUCUCCUUUAAUCUAAUUUCUUCCAACUCCACCUUUGUUGUUACCGGCGUCACACCCGGACCAGCCAAUCCCCGCCACGCAAUCAGCUUGUCAAAAAGCCUCGGCCAUCCCUAGGAAAGCAGGCCGCAGGCGCUGCCCCCCGGCGGCGGCGGGCAGCCGCGAGGGGAGCCCAGCACCCGGUUCUCGCUGCCCCGGGUGGCAGCGGGGCAGCCUCCGACAAGACGUCCCUUGGUUCACUGUCCUGCAGGCCGGGGAUGAAAGGCCUGGACAGGGUCCACCACCCACUCUCCCACUGCCACGGCCGUGGUUGACUGUCUUUGCCUCCCCUUUUCAGAGGAAAGGUUAUCAGGACAGGACGCAGGGAGCCAGAAGACCAUCUGAAGGAAGCCUGCUUCCAACGGGCCCAGCCUCCAGCCACCGCUCCUGGGGCAGCGCCAUUGCUCCUGGCUCUCAGGCUGCCAGUCUCCCACACCGACGCUCUACUGCCCGCAUCUCGGCCAGCUGGGUCACCCAGCCCCUUUCGACUCUCCCCUGGCACGCAGCCUUCUCCUUCACUCGGCCUGCCUCGCUGCUGCUGUAAUUCCUCUUGUCUCCUGGGAGAAAUGAGAUUGCUUUCCCAGGACUUCCACAUCCCACUUCUAUCAGGUUUCACCAACAGGGAGGAAGCCCUGUCAAGAUCUGGUGUGUCCUGUUUUUUUUUUUUUUUUUUCCCAGAGGGCACUGGCAUGUAGGAGAAGCGGAUUUACCACUAGUAGAUGUUAAUGAAAUUUCAGCUUCUAGGCCCCUAACUUGCAGGACCUGCCCAAGGCCCUGAACUUAAUUUUGUUUUCAUCAUUUGGUAUUUUUUUGUUAAAAGAGCCACCGACCACCUCCCCGCUACCCCAGAACUGCACGUGUUUCUGGCCCUACAAACCCAGAUCGUCCCUUGGAAUAUACACAGGGCAAUUUGUGUAGGAUCACACUGCGCUAAAAGUGAGGCAUGGUGGGCUAGGCGCACUGGCUCACACCUGUAAUCCCAGCACUUUGGGAGACCAAGACAGGAGGUCUUAAGUGAUUAAGCCCAGGAGUUCGAGAUCAGCUUAGACAACAUAGCAAGAUGCUGCCUCUACAAACACACACACCCCCUAUUAUAAUAUGUCAAAAAAAAAAAAAAAAAAAGGAAAAGUGAGGCAUAGAACUGACUUUAUUGUUUUGACUAGGAAAGAGCAAAGGGUUUGGAAUCAAAAGUCCCAACUUCCCCACCUUCUUAAUAGUGUGUGAAUCUGAGUGCCUUAUUAACCUUCCCUGGUCCCAGUUUCGUAUCUGUAAAGUUAGAAUAGCAAUCCUGUUUAAUUUGCUUCUCUCACCAGGGAUCAGAAGGCCAAAUGAGAUGAUGUAUGUAAAAUUGUAAAGUCCUCCACAGAUGGCACUUGCCACAUUACAGAGAACUUGAGACCCCCCCCCACCAAUAACGUUCCAAAUCUUCCACAUGCAGAUCUGGAGUCCAGGUGUCCUGGCUCCUGGCCCUGAACUUUUUGGCUGGGCCAAGGGGCUUUUCGGUAAAGUGCUUUGGAAUAAAACAGGAUGAACAUGAAUCAUAAGAAUGAGUAUUUAUUGAUUCCUUGGGCAGCAAAAACUAUGGCUGGCACCCUUCCCACUUGGAAACGAAUUGGCUUGUUUUACAUCUAUUUCGUCUGUGGUGAGGUCAGGAGUCCAAGACUUGGGCUAACGGCCAGAGUAUGAGGAAUCUGCCCUUGGCCCUUUUUCUUUGCCCCAUUUCCCAGUUCAUCUCCCUCCUCACCCUCCAGCCUUCUGGCAUGUGCCUUGAAGCAGAGCGCUGGCAUUCAAUAACCCCAGCCCAGGCUGGUGACAAAGCGGGAUCCUAGCUACACAAUUUCCACUUGGCCUCAGUAUUUCCCCAGGUUGCCAGCAUCCAAGCACCAGCUUAUAUAAAACCCCCAGAGUGCCUGGAAUGCGUUAACCAAAGUGUGGUACUUAAAUUACCAGUCUACAGGGAGUAAUUUUAGAUGGUAUACCAAUAUUUUCAGAUUUAUGUAUUUUAAUGCAUAUUGGAAAUGUUCUGUUUUUAAAUUUUUAUUUAAGAUGGUAUAAAGACACACGUUUUUGGGCCAAGAAUGUUAUUGUCCCUUGUUACUUUUUUUUUUUUUUUCCUUGGGACGGAGUUUCACUCUUAUUGACCAGGCUGGAGUGCAAUGGCGCGAUCUUGGCUCACCGCAACCUCCACCUCCUGGGUUCAAGCGAUUCUCCUGCCUCAGCCUCCCAAGUAGCUGGGAUUACAGGCAUGCACCACCACGCCCAGCUAAUUUUGUAAUUUUAGUAGAGAUGGGGUUUCUCCACGUUGGUCAGGCUGGUCUCGAACUCCCAACCUCAGGUGAUCCGCCCACCUUGGCCUCCCAAAGUGCUGAGAUUACAGGCGUGAGCCACUGCGCCCGGCCUGUCCCUUGUUAUUUUUUUAUUGCUGUGUAAGUCAGAGAUAGUAAAGUACACAUACUUUAAGUAUACAACUUUUUUUUUUGAGACGGAGCUUUGCUCUUGUCACCCAGACUGGAGUGCAAUGGCACGAUCUUGGCUCACUGCAACCUCCACCUCCCUGGUUCAAGCAAUUCUGCCUCAGCCUCCCGAGUAGCUGGGAUUACAGGCAUGCGCCACCACGACCAGCUAAUUUUUUUGUAUUUUUAUUUAUUUAUUUUUUGAGAUUGAGUCUAGCUCUGUUGCCCAGGCUGGAGUGCAGUGGCACGAUUUCAGCUCACUGCAACCUCCGCCUCCAGGUUUCAGGCGAUUCUCCUGCCUCAGCCUCCUGAGUAGCUGGGAUUACAAGCGCCCACGACAAUGCCCAGCUAAUUUUUGUAUUUUCAAUAAAGACGGGGUUUCGCCAUGUUGGCCAGGCUGGUCGCGAACUCCUCACCUCAGGUGAUCUGCCUGCGUCAGCCUCCUAAAGUGCUGAUUACAGGCAGGAGCCACCCAACCCAGCAUAAGUAUACAGCUUGAUGAACUUUUAGGUAUGUAUAUUUAGUAUCAUAUUACAUAUGUGUAUACCAUGUAACCAGCACCCAGAUCAAAAUAUCAAAUAUUUCUAGCAUUUAGCAAGUUUUUUUUUUUUUUUUUUUUUUUUGAGGUGGAGUCUCACUCUGUCACCUAGGCUGGAGUGCAGUGACACGGUCUUGGCUCACUGCCAGCUCUGCCUCCCGGGUUCGUGUCAUUCUCCUGCCUCAGCCUCCUGAGUAGCUGGGACUACAGGUGCCCGCCACCAUGCCCGGCUAAUUUUUUUUUUAAUUUUAAUUUUUAGUAGAGACGGGGUUUCACCGUGUUAGCCAGGAUGGUCUCGAUCUCCUGACCUCGUGAUCCACCUGCCUCAGUCUCCCAAAGUGCUGGGAUUACAGGCGUGAACCACCGCACCUGGCGCAUUUAGCAGGUUUACUCAGUAUUCCCCUCCAAGUAUCAUCAAUGUUCUGAGGUUCUGAGCUCUAUCACCAUAGACAAGUUUUACCUGUUCUUGUAGUAUUUCCAUUGUAUAAAUAUACCACAAUUUAUCCAUUCUACAUUUAUUUAUUUAUUUUAAGGUGAAGUCUUGCUAUGUUGCCCUAGCUGGUCUUGAAC